GGGCCAGUUUACUCUACAUAACAAAGAACUACCUCCUUCAGGCAGAGCCACUUAAUUGCCCUUCAUUGCACCACCCAGCAAAUUUAUUGCUAAUUC
Molecule: non-coding RNA, 96 nt
Organism: Notechis scutatus (mainland tiger snake)
Lineage: Eukaryota; Metazoa; Chordata; Lepidosauria; Squamata; Elapidae
Source: RefSeq, a predicted model, not a curated record